Non-coding RNA from Acanthosepion pharaonis, 113 nucleotides. Lineage: Eukaryota; Metazoa; Mollusca; Cephalopoda; Sepiida; Sepiidae. The record is from the annotation of a GenBank genome assembly.
CCACAUCACGUUGAAACACCGAUUCUCGUACGUCGUACGAUCAUCGAAGUUAAGCAACGUUGAGCCUAGUCAGUACCUAGAUGGGUGACUGCUUGGGAAUACCAGGUGCUAUA